CUCAGUAAGGGCGACUGAAGCGGGAAGAGCUCAUUCUGUGAAUCUGCCCUGUGGUGCCGAGUUGUGGAAUGGAGAAGCACGUCAGCUGCAGCCCGGUCCAAGUCUUCUGGAAAGGAGCGCUUGAAAGGGUGACAGCCCCGUAUCUGGCUGGGUGUCUGUGGCAUUAGCAUGUGCCUUCGACGAGUCGAGUUGCUUGGGAUUGCAGCUCUAAGUGGGUGGUAAAUUCCAUCUAAAGCUAAAUAUCGGUGGGAGACCGAUAGCGUACAAGUACCGUGAGGGAAAGAUGCAAAGAACUUUGAAAAGAGAGUUAAAGAGUACCUGAAAUCGCUGAAAUGGAAGCGAAGGAAACCAGUGGCAUCUCCAACAUUUUCUCUCGUUGCUUGCGGCGAGGGCGCUGUGUUGGAGAGUCGGCCAGCAUGGGUUUGGACCGGCGGAAGACAUCCCCCAGGAGGCAGCUAGAUUCCUAGCAAUCACUGAGGGAUGGUGCGCUGGUCGAGACCGAGGCUAGUCACGUUUGUGCUCGUGAUGCUGGCGAAAUGGUUUUCUUUACCCCGUCUUGAAACACGGACCAAGGAGUCUAACAUAUGUGCGAGUAUAUGGGUGGCAAACCCACAUGCGAAAUGAAAGUAACAGUGGUAGGACCUUUUGGUGCACUAUCCGCCGGCCAAUAUCCCUCGGGAGAACGGUCUGAGUGUGAGCAUACAUGUGGGACCCGAAAGAUGUGAACUAUGCCUGAAUAGGGUGAAGCCGCGGGAAACCGCGGUGGAGGCUCGUAGCGUUCUGACGUGCAAAUCGAUCGUCAAAUUUGGGUAUA
Molecule: ribosomal RNA, 814 nt
Filed under: Chaetoceros muelleri
Lineage: Eukaryota; Bacillariophyta; Thalassiosirophyceae; Chaetocerotales; Chaetocerotaceae
Description: Chaetoceros muellerii partial large subunit ribosomal RNA
Rfam family: Eukaryotic large subunit ribosomal RNA
Source: RNAcentral